This 460-nucleotide ribosomal RNA is filed under the name uncultured bacterium. Its description in RNAcentral is "partial 16S ribosomal RNA". It matches the Rfam family "Bacterial small subunit ribosomal RNA", at positions 338 to 795 of the family's 1533-position model. The record is from RNAcentral.
CCUACGGGCGGCAGCAGUGAGGAAUAUUGGUCAAUGGACGAGAGUCUGAACCAGCCAAGUAGCGUGAAGGAUGACUGCCCUAUGGGUUGUAAACUUCUUUUAUAUGGGAAUAAAAUGUUCCACGUGUGGGAUUUUGUAUGUACCAUAUGAAUAAGGAUCGGCUAACUCCGGGCCAGCAGCCGCGGUAAUACGGAGGAUCCGAGCGUUAUCCGGAUUUAUUGGGUUUAAAGGGAGCGUAGGUGGAUUGUUAAGUCAGUUGUGAAAGUUUACGGCUCAACCGUAAAAUUGCAGUUGAAACUGGCAGUCUUGAGUACAGUAGAGGUGGGCGGAAUUCGUGGUGUAGCGGUGAAAUGCUUAGAUAUCACGAAGAACUCCGAUUGCGAAGGCAGUUCACUGGACUGCAACUGACACUGAGGCUCGAAAGUGUGGGUAUCAAACAGGAUUAGAUACCCCUGUAGUC